UACGUAGGUGGCGAGCGUUGUCCGGAAUUACUGGGCGUAAAGGGUGUGCAGGCGGAUAUUUAAGUGAGAUGUGAAAGACCCGGGCUUAACCUGGGCAGUGCAUUUCAAACUGGAUAUCUAGAGUGCAGGAGAGGAGAACGGAAUUCCUAGUGUAGCGGUGAAAUGCGUAGAGAUUAGGAAGAACACCAGUGGCGAAGGCGGUUCUCUGGACUGUAACUGACGCUGAGGCACGAAAGCGUGGGUAG
RNAcentral lists this ribosomal RNA (245 nucleotides) under uncultured Clostridium sp. RNAcentral describes it as "partial 16S ribosomal RNA". It matches the Rfam family "Bacterial small subunit ribosomal RNA", at positions 524 to 768 of the family's 1533-position model. Lineage: Bacteria; Bacillati; Bacillota; Clostridia; Eubacteriales; Clostridiaceae. The record is from RNAcentral.